RNAcentral lists this long non-coding RNA (1329 nucleotides) under Equus caballus (horse). Its description in RNAcentral is "lncRNA (ENSECAG00000051941.1)". Lineage: Eukaryota; Metazoa; Chordata; Mammalia; Perissodactyla; Equidae. The record is from RNAcentral.
CAGCGGGUAUGUCCAGAGGAGAGGCUCCGCCAUCUCCUGCUGCCAUGGAUGUGACGGAGGAGUCUUGGCAAUCCUGGAAGACCUGCAGGAUCUCCUCCCAGCCCUCCAGUGUGAAGCCAGCAGCUUCGUCAGCCACGUAGGUGGCUCUCCAGCCAACGUUUACUUUAGUGUCAAAAAGAAAUCCCAGGCAUGUCUGAAACAGAUGUGGGCCCACUGUGCACUGGGGGUCUUCCCAGGGACAGCCUAGGCCGGCCUGGGGGCGUGGGCCUUUCUGUUGGGGUUGGUCCUGUCCUUGCCUCUGGAGGGAAGCCAGCCUGGCAGGCCUGCCCCUCGUUCCGUGCUGGGGCCUGAGACCCGCACGUAGAGCCUGCGCAGCCGUGUGACCUGGGGCGUGUGUGACAGAAGGCCGCAUGGCUGUGGGAGGGGACAGGGAUGCUGGCUUGGCUCUGCCAAAGCUUUUAAUUAACUCAGAUAAUUGUUCACAGCUUUAGACGUGAACAAGCCCCAGAUUCCCCACACUGACGUCGGGGCCUGCUUCCCGUCUGCACAGAGGGAUGGACUGAAAUAGGAGUUCCUGCUAUUUUAAAGGGUCAAGAUCCCUUUAAAAAUCUGGAAAAAGCUGUGGACUCUUUCCCCAGAAAACACACACACACGUACACACAUAUAUACACACAUGUAUACACGUACACACGUACACAUGUACACUUGCUGUUUCACGUCCAGUUUCAGGGGCUCACAACCCCUAGUUCCAGGGGGUCCUGGACGCCAAAAUAAGGCACUCUGCCCUGAGUGACCCUGGGCCGGCCCCUCCCCUGCAGCACCCCUGAGGUUGUCUAUGGACAGAGCAGUGUCCCCACCACCUGGCAUUUCCAGUCUCUUACUCCAAGGUGGACAAAGGAGGAGUUCUCACCCUUUUCUGCAGAUGAGAACCGAAGCCCAGGGCAGGGCCGAUCUCACAGGAAGUCCGGAGUGAGUCUGGCUCUGGACCCAGGCUCUUCUCCUCCCCAGCCUGGAGCCCGUUCCCUCCAUCCCUGCUUCCUCCUAGCUUUUUAGGUCAUGCUCCCUUUUGACAAGUGAAAAAACCUCAUUUCCCCCACCUCCGAAAUAUCGAAUAACACACUGUGGGGAGGGGAGCGGGAGUCUGUCUCCCCACUUGGGGUCACUGUAUCAUAGGCCGACAAGGCUUUUGUUAAGUUUUACUUUCUCUGGCUUGAAAUAUAAUUUGAACUCUGAAAAUCAUAGUUGUUCUUAUGUCCCAAAUAUGAAAUAUCAUAAUGUUGAAACGUUUGAAACCAUACAGCCUGCAGCAGCCCCACCUAAAAAGCACUG